UGGAGGAAAAGSUAGGGGAUCGCAAGACCUAUGCGCUCUUGGAGCGGCCGAUGUCUGAUUAGCUAGUUGGUGAGGUAAAGGCUUACCAAGGCGACGAUCAGUAGCUGGUCUGAGAGGACGACCAGCCACACUGGGACUGAGACACGGCCCAGACUCCUACGGGAGGCAGCAGUGGGGAAUUUUGGACAAUGGGGGAAACCCUGAUCCAGCCAUGCCGCGUGAGUGAAGAAGGCCUUCGGGUUGUAAAGCUCUUUCAGCCGGAACGAAACGGUCACGGCUAAUACCUGUGACUACUGACGGUACCGGAAGAAGAAGCACCGGCUAACUACGUGCCAGCAGCCGCGGUAAUACGUAGGGUGCAAGCGUUAAUCGGAAUUACUGGGCGUAAAGCGUGCGCAGGCGGUUUUGUAAGUCAGAUGUGAAAUCCCCGGGCUUAACCUGGGAACUGCGUUUGAAACUACCAAAAGCUAGA
RNAcentral lists this ribosomal RNA (472 nucleotides) under uncultured beta proteobacterium. Its description in RNAcentral is "bacterial SSU rRNA". It matches the Rfam family "Bacterial small subunit ribosomal RNA", at positions 196 to 645 of the family's 1533-position model. The record is from RNAcentral. Lineage: Bacteria; Pseudomonadati; Pseudomonadota; Betaproteobacteria.